CCUACGGGAGGCUGCAGUGAGGAAUAUUGGUCAAUGGACGAGAGUCUGAACCAGCCAAGUAGCGUGAAGGAUGACUGCCCUAUGGGUUGUAAACUUCUUUUAUAAAGGAAUAAAACGAGGCACGUGUGCCUUUUUGCAUGUACUUUAUGAAUAAGGAUCGGCUAACUCCGUGCCAGCAGCCGCGGUAAUACGGAGGAUCCGAGCGUUAUCCGGAUUUAUUGGGUUUAAAGGGAGCGUAGAUGGGUUGUUAAGUCAGUUGUGAAAGUUUGCGGCUCAACCCUAAAAUUGCAAUUGAUACUGGCAGUCUUGAGUACAGGUGAGGUAAGCGGAAUUCGUGGUGUAGCGGUGAAAUGCUUAGAUAUCACGAAGAACCCCGAUUGCGAAGGCAGCAUACUAAACUGUGACUGACAUUGAUGCUCGAAAGUGUGGGUAUCAAACAGGAUUAGAUACCCUUGUAGUC
This 460-nucleotide ribosomal RNA is filed under the name uncultured bacterium. RNAcentral describes it as "partial 16S ribosomal RNA". It matches the Rfam family "Bacterial small subunit ribosomal RNA", at positions 338 to 795 of the family's 1533-position model. The record is from RNAcentral.